GUCCCCUUCGUCUAGUGGUCCAGGACGCCGCCUUCUCAAGGCGGUAACAGGGGUUCAAAUCCCCUAGGGGACGCCA
Molecule: transfer RNA, 76 nt
Filed under: Rickettsiales bacterium
Lineage: Bacteria; Pseudomonadati; Pseudomonadota; Alphaproteobacteria; Rickettsiales
Description: tRNA-Glu
Rfam family: tRNA
About the family: Transfer RNA (tRNA) molecules are approximately 80 nucleotides in length. Their secondary structure includes four short double-helical elements and three loops (D, anti-codon, and T loops).
Source: RNAcentral